GUGAAUCAUCGAAUUUUUGAACGCAUAUUGCACCAUCUGGUAUUCCGGAGAGUAUGCCUAUUUGAGGGUCAUUUGAAAUAAUAGAAAUUUCGAGAUUUUCUUGAAAUCAAAAAUGGUUCGGUUCAGCUUUCUUGUGGUGGUCGGCUAAAAUGCAAGACAAGCUCAUUUCUUGGGUUGCGUGAUACUUUCAGUUAUCGCGCGACUUCACAGGAAAUCGUCGAUCGUGUUAA
RNAcentral lists this unclassified non-coding RNA (230 nucleotides) under Archaeospora sp. RNAcentral's name for it is "partial contains 5.8S ribosomal RNA and internal transcribed spacer 2". The stretch from base 1 to 71 matches the Rfam family "5.8S ribosomal RNA", at positions 84 to 154 of the family's 154-position model. The record is from RNAcentral. Lineage: Eukaryota; Fungi; Glomeromycota; Glomeromycetes; Archaeosporales; Archaeosporaceae.